This 838-nucleotide long non-coding RNA is filed under the name Salvia miltiorrhiza (redroot sage). RNAcentral describes it as "long non-coding RNA (SMIL_LNC013928)". Lineage: Eukaryota; Viridiplantae; Streptophyta; Magnoliopsida; Lamiales; Lamiaceae. The record is from RNAcentral.
AGAGAGAGAGCUGUUGUAGGAAGCCGUCGAGUGUCUCAGGCAUUGUGUGUAUGUGUGUGUGUGAGAGAGAGAGAGAGAGAGUUGUUGUAGGAAGGUGGAAGCCAUGUCGGACAGAUUCCCACCUCUAUUGAGGUAAGGACUGUUUGGGUUAAUUUCCCGCGAAAAUUAAUUAAUUAAAUAUUAGUAGAACUUUUUUUUUUAGAUAUAUCACCUUUUUUUUUUUGAGACAUAUUACGUUUUUUUUAGAUAAACAAAAGAAGUUUAUGUCAUAUUGUGUGAUGAACAAACGUAUAUAUAUCUAAAUUCAAGCAUAAUUCAACAACUUAUAAAUACAGAUUUGUUUUUUUGAAUUUGAGUAUUAUUUGACGAAUUUUUAUACGGGUACUUGCCAUGAGUUUUCGUUUAUUUUUUUGUAUUUUUGAGAAACACGAGCACUAUUUUUUAUUUCAUUUUCGUUUAUCCAUUUAUUUUAGAGCUUUUCUAGUUCAACUAAUUCGGUCCUCUUAAUUUUAAUGCGGAAACAAAAUAUAUUUGGCUGAAGUGUUUUCAAAUAUUUAGGUACAAAUCAUUCCAAUUCAUUUAAAACACAUUUAUUGAACAGAAUUACUACACUAUGUUCCCAAAAUUUAUCAUGUAAACUCUAAAAACUUGGCUAGAUAUAUAAUAAUACUAGUAAUGCACCAUCUCCCUUGACCCAAUAGGAAAGCUUCCUUCUCUCCCUGACCUCUCCACUCUAUCCGCCAUUAACACUCACAACAAAUUCACAUAAGCAUAAAAAAAUAAUAGUAAACAGAAAAUGACCAUGGAUCCUUCAGCUUGAAGAAGCAGCAGCAACCUC